CCUACGGGCGGCAGCAGUGAGGAAUAUUGGUCAAUGGCCGAGAGGCUGAACCAGCCAAGUCGCGUGAGGGAAGACGGCCCUAAGGGUUGUAAACCUCUUUUGUCGAGGAGCAAAGAGAGGCACGUGUGACUCAUUGAGAGUACCCGAAGAAAAAGCAUCGGCUAACUCCGUGCCAGCAGCCGCGGUAAUACGGGGGAUGCGAGCGUUAUCCGGAUUUAUUGGGUUUAAAGGGUGCGUAGGCGGAGUUGCAAGUCAGCGGUAAAAUUUCGGGGCUCAACCCCGUACUGCCGUUGAAACUGCAUCCCUUGAGUGCGCGAGAAGUAUGCGGAAUGCGUGGUGUAGCGGUGAAAUGCAUAGAUAUCACGCAGAACUCCGAUGGCGAAGGCAGCAUACCGGCGCGCAACUGACGCUCAUGCACGAAAGCGUGGGUAUCGAACAGGAUUAGAUACCCCAGUAGUC
RNAcentral lists this ribosomal RNA (459 nucleotides) under uncultured bacterium. RNAcentral's name for it is "partial 16S ribosomal RNA". It matches the Rfam family "Bacterial small subunit ribosomal RNA", at positions 338 to 795 of the family's 1533-position model. The record is from RNAcentral.